UGCUGUGAACUCGAAGAGUAGGGCGGGACACGUGGUAUCCUGUCUGAAUAUGGGGGGACCAUCCUCCAAGGCUAAAUACUCCUGACUGACCGAUAGUGAACCAGUACCGUGAGGGAAAGGCGAAAAGAACCCCGGCGAGGGGAGUGAAAAAGAACCUGAAACCGUGUACGUACAAGCAGUGGGAGCACCUUCGGGUGUGACUGCGUACCUUUUGUAUAAUGGGUCAGCGACUUAUAUUCUGUAGCAAGGUUAACCGUAUAGGGGAGCCGAAGGGAAACCGAGUCUUAACUGGGCGUUAAGUUGCAGGGUAUAGACCCGAAACCCGGUGAUCUAGCCAUGGGCAGGUUGAAGGUUGGGUAACACUAACUGGAGGACCGAACCGACUAAUGUUGAAAAAUUAGCGGAUGACCUGUGGCUGGGGGUGAAAGGCCAAUCAAACCGGGAGAUAGCUGGUUCUCCCCGAAAGCUAUUUAGGUAGCGCCUCGUGAACUCAUCUUCGGGGGUAGAGCACUGUUUCGGCUAGGGGGCCAUCCCGGCUUACCAACCCGAUGCAAACUACGAAUACCGAAGAAUGUUAUCACGGGAGACACACGGCGGGUGCUAACGUCCGUCGUGAAGAGGGAAACAACCCAGACCGCCAGCUAAGGUCCCAAAGUCAUGGUUAAGUGGGAAACGAUGUGGGAAGGCACAGACAGCCAGGAUGUUGGCUUAGAAGCAGCCAUCAUUUAAAGAAAGCGUAAUAGCUCACUGGUCGAGUCGGCCUGCGCGGAAGAUGUAACGGGGCUAAACCAUGCACCGAAGCUGCGGCAGCGACACUAUGUGUUGUUGGGUAGGGGAGCGUUCUGUAAGCCGUUGAAGGUGUGCUGUGAGGCAUGCUGGAGGUAUCAGAAGUGCGAAUGCUGACAUAAGUAACGAUAAAGCGGGUGAAAAGCCCGCUCGCCGGAAGACCAAGGGUUCCUGUCCAACGUUAAUCGGGGCAGGGUGAGUCGACCCCUAAGGCGAGGCCGAAAGGCGUAGUCGAUGGGAAACAGGUUAAUAUUCCUGUACUUGGUGUUACUGCGAAGGGGGGACGGAGAAGGCUAUGUCAGCCGGGCGACGGUUGUCCCGGUUUAAGCAUGUAGGCGGAGGUUCCAGGUAAAUCCGGUACCUUUUAACGCUGAGGUGUGAUGACGAGGCACUACGGUGCUGAAGUGAUAAAUGCCCUGCUUCCAGGAAAAGCCUCUAAGCAUCAGGUAACACGAAAUCGUACCCCAAACCGACACAGGUGGUCAGGUAGAGAAUACCAAGGCGCUUGAGAGAACUCGGGUGAAGGAACUAGGCAAAAUGGUGCCGUAACUUCGGGAGAAGGCACGCUGAUAGGUAGGUGAAGUCCCUGCGGACGGAGCUGAAAUCAGUCGAAGAUACCAGCUGGCUGCAACUGUUUAUUAAAAACACAGCACUGUGCAAACACGAAAGUGGACGUAUACGGUGUGACGCCUGCCCGGUGCCGGAAGGUUAAUUGAUGGGGUUAGCGGCAACGCGAAGCUCUUGAUCGAAGCCCCGGUAAACGGCGGCCGUAACUAUAACGGUCCUAAGGUAGCGAAAUUCCUUGUCGGGUAAGUUCCGACCUGCACGAAUGGCGUAAUGAUGGCCAGGCUGUCUCCACCCGAGACUCAGUGAAAUUGAACUCGCUGUGAAGAUGCAGUGUACCCGCGGCAAGACGGAAAGACCCCGUGAACCUUUACUAUAGCUUGACACUGAACACUGGUCCUUGAUGUGUAGGAUAGGUGGGAGGCUUUGAAGCGUGGACGCCAGUCUGCGUGGAGCCAUCCUUGAAAUACCACCCUUUAAUGGCUGGUGUUCUAACGUAGACCCGUGAUCCGGGUUGCGGACAGUGUCUGGUGGG
This 1885-nucleotide ribosomal RNA is filed under the name Enterobacter hormaechei. RNAcentral describes it as "partial 23S ribosomal RNA". It matches the Rfam family "Bacterial large subunit ribosomal RNA", at positions 395 to 2265 of the family's 2925-position model. Lineage: Bacteria; Pseudomonadati; Pseudomonadota; Gammaproteobacteria; Enterobacterales; Enterobacteriaceae. The record is from RNAcentral.